UUGUUAUUGUGCUUGAUUUGUAUUUUUCUAUCAAGUAUCGUUAAAGAUUGCCUCUAGUCUGUAUUCACAAAUUUGUCUUAAACUGGUAGCAUUCUCAUGAUCUCAGUUUCUAUGCUUUUCAAUUGGCAGGGAUGCUCUGGAUGCUUUGGAAUUGUUCCGCUACUGCUGCAGGCGAAUGCUCAUGACCCAUGUUGACCUCAUUGAGAAGUUGCUCAACUACAACAGUAAGUUGAAUUAUUAUUAUUUUUUAGCUGCGAUUCAAGUUGUGAAUUUUCAUUUAUGGCCGCACCAUUUAUGGAUGUAUCGAUUUUUUAUUUUCAGCACUGGAGAAGACCGAGACAAGUUAAGUGAGCAAGCAUAUCAUGCUCUGAAAGCACUACUGUUUCGCAGUAUCAUAUAUAUUGUAGGCGGUAUGUUGUCUCUUCUCUAUCAGGAGAGGAUUGUUGUCAGUGUGAACUUGCUUUUGCUCACGAGCAUUCAAGGACUGACAGUGCAUGUUGCAUCUAUGCCACGAUGUUGGAGAUUUUAAUCGAUAUAAUAACUGCUAACUAAUACUCUCUUUGUCUCUGUCCCAAUUUAUAAUUCGUUUGACCUUUUUACAUCAAGUUUGAUUGGCUCGUAUUAUUGCAUCGGCCGUAUGCAUACUCAUGUGCUUCGAGGUAUACAACGGCCGAAAAUGGCCACUCGGUCCGUCGUCGUCGCGAGGUAUAUACAAUGGCCACUCGGUCAUGUGCUUCGAGCUAGGCUGUACCUGUACGUGCUGCUAUGAUUUGAUGCGUCCGCAUGUGCUUCGCGGUGCAACUUGCGUUGUUCCUAAAUCAUGCAGCAUUUCGCUUCGUUGACUUCCACAGCAUUUCGCUUCGUUGACUUCCACAAUAGGCUGUACCUGUACGUGCUGCUAUUAUUCAUCUGGGACUGGCAUAUAGUACGUUCAGAUUCUUCAUGUUUUGGCCUGAUCAGGUGUAUUUUUCACCGGAUCUCAGUACCCGUUUGGCCUGAUCAGGCUAUGGCGAUAUGCAGACGAUGUUCAACUUUACUAAUCUCUCUCUCUUUUUUUCUGUCCAAACUGUAUUAUUGCAUCCGUUUGUGAAUGCACGAAUUCAUUUGCAAGGAGGAACAAAACUGUGAUCAAAGAACAAAGAAUCAAAGAGAACGACCGACCUAUGUACAGUUGUACACACACACACAAAAAUGGCGCGCGAUCCCCGCAACUGGGGGAUCGAGCAGGCGGCGGAUUCGUUCGGCCGCCGGCCGGUCAGCCCUCGAAGCUGGACGAGCGGCUCCAUCUCCCCCUGAGGUACUCCUCCAACGACACGGCGGCGGCGGCGGCGAAGAUGAUCAUACCGGUGCGCUGCUUCACCUGCGGCAAGGUAACACGUCCCUCCCGAUUCGCUCUACAGUUUGCGCGGCCGGUUUGGGUUAGGUUAGUUCCUCUAGGGUUUGGUUCGAGUCGCGCAGCGACAACUCGGUACCCCUCUGGGCCUGCAGCACUCACCGCGAGCACCGCUUGCUAGGCUGUCAGCCACGUCUCGAGCAUGUGGGGAGGAUACGUUGUUGUGCUAGCGAGUUGAACUAAGGUGUGUUUGUUUAUCGAUAUUACAGGUGAUUGGGAACAAGUGGGACCUCUACCUCGACCUCCUCCAGGCCGACUACUCGGAAGGGUAAAAUCUCCUGUCUUUUCAUCUCAGGGCUCUUAUAUUGUGGUUUUAUCACUGCAUCUCGAGUGGUGUUUCUGUUGCAUCGUGCUGUGGUGUUUUAAGAGGUUUAAAGCAAGAAGUUUGUUUUGGUGCUGAGGUAAAGAUAUGUGAUGCUCUGCACAAGUCUGAGUUAUGCCAAAAAGGGAUACGGUUUCUAUUCCUUUUCUCCCUAUAUAAAUAAACAUAUCCAUUUAUAAGUUCUGUCAAAGCAGCCCCUUUCCUAAAAUUUGUUAUGGAUCCUGGCAUAUGAGAUCAAUUAUGCGUUAUCUUCAGUGUGGUAGCUCUUGUUAAUUGCAAAACUUUAGUAAUCUUUUUUAUAUUUCUAAAAUUCGGACUCUAGGCUGUUAAGAAUAUCAAUGCAAUAUGCUGUAUAUCUUGUUACAGACAAAGAUAACCAAUAGUGUAUUGAUCCAUAGUUAUUCAAUAAGAGAUUGUGCAUGUGCAUACUGAAUUACUGAUUUAGCAGUAGUGGCAUUGUUAAUUGUUUGUGUCCUUGACUAUAUGUCUGAUAACGAUUAACAGUUUACUGACCAGAGAUCACUGAUCUAUAGGUAGUUUUAUUUGUACCGCAUUAAAAGAUUUGUAGCCUCUAAGCUUUAUUUGUAUGGUAUCAAAUUGUCAUUGUGUGUCCUCGGUUCGCCUACAUGUUAUCUUAGUUCAGAUUAGCUAAGAAUUAAGAUGUAUAUGUCUGUAACUUCAGGGUUUCUCUUUUUGUGCCCUACUAGGAUCUCAUGCUUAACCUUUUGUUAUAUUUAUACAUCCUGAGUGUUGGUGGUCGAAAUUAGUCAUUACUAAUGCUAUUUAUGUUUAAUAGUACAUUUUAAUUUCAUUAUUCAUGGCAACAGAAAUUACCGAAGUUUGUAAAACUUAAACUGUUCUUACCCUGAAACCAACUACUGCCCAUCCUUACUGAGCACCCAGGGUUCAGAUGAGGCGGCAACCACUGUACCAAAACACCAAAACGAACCUCGAGUUGACAUGAUACGACCCUGCAUAAAUGAACAUGUUUCGUAGUACUAAAUCCAAAUCUAUUAAACCAGUGGACACCUGUCGUGGGUGCAGUCAGCUAGGCCAUAUGGGCUGGGUCAUUUAGUAUGAAAGGUUCAUUAGGAUUCUGGUUAGAGAUAAGAUUAGCCAUCUUGCUUGAAACUAGCCUUGUCUCUGACACGAGCGCAGAUAAGAUAGGAUAAUCCUUUUGAGCCCUGGUCAUACUCCAAAACUGCAUCUCCUCACUAACUAGUAGCACUCCUGCUAGUUUAGGAAAGAGACCCUAAAACACACACUGGUUGUGGUGGUUACAAAUUGGCCAUGUUUCUGAGAUGACGAUGGAGUUGUUGAUCCCCUUCCUAGCUUGUCCAUUUACUCUUGUUUGCAAUGUAGCCCAUCAAUCAUUAAAGGAAAACCCAUCUAUCAACAGUAAUCUAAAUAUACUAUAGUAUAUUACGAUUUUGUGCUAUGCAUCGCAGUUGGUAAAGAUUUUGACCUACUCAGUUCUCUGAGCAUAUAAGGUUGUGUCCAGCAUAUCGUGCAUAUGGUCGUACAAAACAUUAUUUUAAAUUGUAGAUAAUAUUGUUUGCAGAGUGGAGUUUAAAAUAGGAGGUGAGAUAAGGAAUGUGAUAGGAGAGCUGGUGGAGAUAGCCUAAGGGCUCCGUGUCCUUGUUAUUGUGCUUGAUUUGUAUUUUUCUAUCAAGUAUCGUUAAAGAUUGUCUCUAGUCUGUAUUCACAAAUUUGUCUUAAACUGGUAGCAUUUUCAUGAUCUCAGUUUCUAUGCUUUUCAAUUGCCAGGGAUGCUCUGGAUGCUCUGGAACUGUUCCGCUACUGCUGCAGGCGAAUGCUCAUGACCCAUGUUGACCUCAUUGAGAAGUUGCUCAACUACAACA
Molecule: long non-coding RNA, 3577 nt
Filed under: Zea mays
Lineage: Eukaryota; Viridiplantae; Streptophyta; Magnoliopsida; Poales; Poaceae
Description: long non-coding RNA (ZMAY_LNC000250)
Source: RNAcentral